UCCAACAAGUGAUAUCAGAGUACGCGGUUGUCCGUGUUGUGAUAGUAUUGAUCGAGAUUGAAGCAGAUGAAAAAGACAGGCUCAAUUAAGGUAGAGAUCUAUCGGUAUGAUGGAAAGAGUAAUUUCUCUCUAUAGCAAAUAAAGGAGAAAGAUGUGCUCAUUCAACAAAAGUUAAUUGAUGCUCUCAUAUGCGAGGAGAAGCUGACUACUAUGGAGGAGA
This 220-nucleotide long non-coding RNA is filed under the name Elaeis guineensis (African oil palm). Its description in RNAcentral is "long non-coding RNA (EGUI_LNC074418)". Lineage: Eukaryota; Viridiplantae; Streptophyta; Magnoliopsida; Arecales; Arecaceae. The record is from RNAcentral.